AACGAACGCUGGCGGCAUGCCUAACACAUGCAAGUCGAACGAGACCUUCGGGUCUAGUGGCGCACGGGUGCGUAACGCGUGGGAACCUGCCCUUAGGUUCGGAAUAACUCCCCGAAAGGGGUGCCAAUACCGGAUAAUGUCUUCGGACCAAAGAUUUAUCGCCUUUGGAUGGGCCCGCGUUGGAUUAGCUAGUUGGUAGGGUAAAAGCCUACCAAGGCGACGAUCCAUAGCUGGUCUGAGAGGAUGAUCAGCCACACUGGGACUGAGACACGGCCCAGACUCCUACGGGAGGCAGCAGUGGGGAAUAUUGGACAAUGGGCGAAAGCCUGAUCCAGCAAUGCCGCGUGAGUGAUGAAGGCCUUAGGGUUGUAAAGCUCUUUUACCCGGGAUGAUAAUGACAGUACCGGGAGAAUAAGCCCCGGCUAACUCCGUG
Molecule: ribosomal RNA, 433 nt
Filed under: uncultured bacterium
Lineage: Bacteria
Description: partial 16S ribosomal RNA
Rfam family: Bacterial small subunit ribosomal RNA
Source: RNAcentral